CGGGGUGUGGCGCAGGUGGAAGCGCGCUGGCAUGGGGGGCCAGAGGUCACGGGUUCAAGUCCCGUCACCCCGA
Molecule: transfer RNA, 73 nt
Organism: Hydrogenobacter thermophilus TK-6
Lineage: Bacteria; Pseudomonadati; Aquificota; Aquificia; Aquificales; Aquificaceae
Rfam family: tRNA
About the family: Transfer RNA (tRNA) molecules are approximately 80 nucleotides in length. Their secondary structure includes four short double-helical elements and three loops (D, anti-codon, and T loops).
Source: Rfam